UACGAAGGGGGCAAGCGUUGUUCGGAAUUACUGGGCGUAAAGGGCGCGUAGACGGCCGAUCAAGUCAGGCGUGAAAUUCCCGGGCUCAACCUGGGGGCUGCGCUUGAUACUGAUUGGCUUGAAUGCGGGAGAGGAUAGUGGAAUUCCCAGUGUAGAGGUGAAAUUCGUAGAUAUUGGGAAGAACACCGGUGGCGAAGGCGGCUAUCUGGCCCGUAAUUGACGCUGAGGCGCGAAAGCGUGGGGAGCAAACAGG
RNAcentral lists this ribosomal RNA (253 nucleotides) under uncultured bacterium. Its description in RNAcentral is "partial 16S ribosomal RNA". It matches the Rfam family "Bacterial small subunit ribosomal RNA", at positions 524 to 776 of the family's 1533-position model. The record is from RNAcentral.